This is a long non-coding RNA of Gigantopelta aegis, 2097 nucleotides long. RefSeq lists it as uncharacterized. The transcript is spliced from 2 exons. The record is from RefSeq and is a predicted model, not a curated record. NCBI's taxonomy places the organism in Eukaryota, Metazoa, Mollusca, Gastropoda, Neomphalida, Peltospiridae.
CGAUAAGAUCCGCACCUUAGUUACGGAACAAACUGUCGUUAAGGUUACGAUGUGACGUCACACAAUUAUAAAUCACACAUGGAGCGGUCACCCACGUUAUGUCGCAGACAGAUACCAAUCGCCGCAUAGGACAUUCGGUGUUUGCAAAUGUCCCCAUGCACCGACAUUAGUAGAUAGGUCCACUGCAGAAUUGUUGAUGACGUCACAUCCUGGGCGAAACAAACUCUGAUCCAAGUCCGCUUGCGUCUGACAACAUGAUUUCGUCAAGGGAACAGACAGUGAAGGAAGAGGUGAUGAAGUAUAUGCAAGAGGUGAAACUGCCGAUGAUGCGGCACGAGGAAGCCAUGACAUUAAAGUGUUUAAAAUUACCCAAUCAGUAUUCUCGUUAUUUCAACGUCUGCCCGGAACGAAGCAUGGGUAAUUUCCCUUGGCCGCCCACGUGUGAGAACCCAUACGAUGACACGGAGUUGAGGGAGACGGGCAAGCGAGUGGUUGAAACCAACAGUAUCGGUCCCUUCUCCACCCUUGGCAAAAGAGGGUGUGGGUGUGUGUUUGAUCCACAGGCCGAUAACAAACGAUAUAGAACGGGACUCUCUACAAUGAAGCUUGGACCGUGGAGAGAGCCUAUUAGACCGCGGAUUAAACUUGGUAAGAGUUAGCCUUCCUACGACACCACGAAUUUCAUAUCGAACAGCACGGAUUGGCAGGUUUAGCAGAAUAGCGUGUAGCACCAUCAACUGGCAUUUGGCGCCACGGAGUAAUAUGUAACACAGCGAAUUAGCAUUUGGCACCAUGGAUUAGCAUACAUAACACUUCGAAUUAGCGAAUUACUCCAACGAGUUAGCAUUUGGCAUGACGGGUUAGCAGGUAACAUCACGAACUGGUUUUUGGUACCACACAUUAGCAUAAAACACCACACAAUAGCAAGCCAACACCACGCAGAAGUAUUUAACAGCACGAACUAGACAUGACACAAAUUAGCCUCGGCUAGCCAAGAUGACAACUGCGUAUGAUGAUUGAGAGAGAGAGAGAGAGAGAGAGAGAGAGAGAGAGAGAGAGAGAGAGAGAGAGAGAGAGAGAGAGAGAGAGAGAGAGAGAGAGAGAGAGAGAGAGAGAGAGAGAGCGCGCAUUGUUGCAAAUAUCUUUCAUUUCGUUGGAUGUUGCAGGGAUCUUCAGUGGCAGUCGUGUUUGAUUUGUCUACAUGUUACUAAAUGCCCUAUUUCAAACUAUAAAAGUAUUGAAGAAGCGUUAAACAGUGCCAAGAGAACAUAAAGUUGUGUUAAAGUAUUUUAUUGCUUUCUUUCCUAUUUCUGGCUGUUUGUUUUUGUUUGUAUUUUGUUUUUUCUAUUUAUUUAAUGAUAAUGUGGUGUAUGUGUUUAGUAUUUUGGAACUUAUUUUGUUUUUAAAGUAUUGUCGUAUACCGAAAUGUACCGACAUCGGCAUGAAGUUCCUUUUGCGCACGUGAAAAAACCGCUAGCAAAACUAGCAGAAUAAAGCUUAAAGUUACAUUCUUUGUAGCUGUCUUUCCCCCCAUAAAAUAUAAGUACUAGUACGGUCGUGUAACUUCGUUUUUGUGUUCCAGUUCUCAAAAGGGUACGAGACGGGGAUGGAUGGAUGGUGUGUGUGUGUGUGUGUGUGUGUGUGUGUGUGUGUGUGUGUGUGUGUGUGUGUGUGUGUGUGUGUGUGUGUGUGUAGCGGGGUGGGGGGGGGGGGGGUUAGUGUCAAAUCGUAAGUCGCCGAAUCUGGAUAACAAUAUUUAUUCGCAGUAAUGCUAAUAUGGAUAAAUGUUGUCCAGAUUCGGACAUUUUCGUUUAAUUUGUGCAAAAAUCAGCCUAUGCCUUUACAACAAUGGGAGUUGUGUGUGUGUGUGUGUGUGUGUGUGUGUGUGUGUGUGUGUGUGUGUGUGUGUGUGUGUGUGUGUGUGUUAUUCUUGCUUCUUAAUUUUUUUUUUAUUAUGUUAUUUUUAUAUAUUGUUUUGUUUUUGCUGUUAUUUCUAAAAUAUUAUUUAUUGUAUAUCAAUAUUUUACUUAAUAUGGUAGUUUGUAAUCUGUCAUUACAAAACGCUAUUUCGGUAUAAUUAAAAACAAACUAUAUAUU